CACACCGGUCAAUGAGGGUUCGUGAAGGGAGCCUGGCAUGGUGCGCGCGCCUCGAUCUAGGAGAGCGCCUCAAACCUGCAGGGCCCUUGGGCACGCGCGCCACCACUGCGCCGCCGCAGUCGGAAGACGUCGGGUCCGUGGUGGCAACAGUGGCGGCCGCAGUCGGGUUCCGCGGGGAAUGCUCUGCUCAGCGAUGCACUGCCACUGACCGCCACGGACAGCUGACGCUUGAACAAAGUCCAGACGCCGCGUCCGCCAAUGCGCACGCGUCCACGCCUUCUGGCAUCGCCUCCACUUAGCCCCGAACCCGGAGCCGGGCGGGCGCCGCCGGCUCGCAAGCGCCGGGGUCUUCCCCUAACCCCGUGCGCGGCGGUGCAGGGGGUGUACAACCACCAAUCCGAGCGACCGGCGAAUGGCCCUCCCGGUGGCUAAUGCGCAAAGAAAGUCAACGCCACCGCCACUGGCUCAUAAACCGCGCGCUGUCUCCACGUCGCGCCACAGCGGCAGUCCCCCUCGGUGAAACACCGCGGGCUAUAAAUACACAGCAGCUGCCGGGACACAGAGGCUUGCCCAUCCACCUCGGACAGCAGCCACAGGAACCGCCUCCCCGGGUCACGCGCCUGCAAUGGAUGGGGGAGCCGCUGUGGAACGCGGAACAGAGGGCACGGCCCGCACGCAGGCCACGAGCAGCAGCAGCAGCAGCGGAGACCCGGAGAGGGACAGUUGGGAAGACGCAAACAUCCUCCCGAAUAAGGCCCCUCUCAUCCCUCUACCAUCAUCACCAGCAUUGGGCUGCCACACAUCGUGUCAGCACUGGCCAAGAUAGCUGCUGUCACCUCCUCCACAAAUUAAAAUACAUAUAAUCUCUCAAAUGUGACUACCUCGCGCAGCGCAAUAAAGAGUGGAAGGCAUCGUGCUUUCUUCGUCUCUGUCAGAGUCUAUGGGUCUCUGUGAGAGUCUAUGGAUCUCUGUGAGAGUAUAUGUGUCUCUGUGAGGGUCUAUAAGUCUCUGGGAGCGUCUAUGGGUCUCUGGGAGAGUCUAUGGGUCUCUGUGAGAUUAUACUGGGCCCAUAAGCCAGCAGCUGCGUUCACAGUUCAUAUCCAUGUUGGUGGCAUUAGCGGAGUACAGGAAAGGAAAGCUUCACUGAGUCUCAAGAUUAUAUUUUAGGAGGGUCCUGCAUUUGAUUGUUUGGCCAGUUCUAUUCACGGGUAUUUUGCAUUUGAGCGGGAUCUGGAGCACCCAGAGAAAGCGCACGCAUGCAAGAGGAUCACACUUAAAGUUUCACACGGAUGGGUUCACGAACACACCUUUUUUGUGCUGAGCGGUAGCAACAUUUUUGGUCACUUCGAAUCACCAAAAAACCAGAGUGGUCGUGAAUUGUCGCCUAACAUUUACAAUCUUUCUCUUCUGCAGUCACGAAACACAGCGGCGCUUUAAUUGCUUUCUUUGAAGCAACAACAAACGCCGUAAAUGCUCGCGCGGCAAAUGUGUUUACUGAGCGCAGCAUUACGAUGCGAGUCACCAACGCUGAUUAUGUAACGCGACGUGCUCGCUCAAUCAGCUAAUCCGCCCCUCCCCCCACCGUGGAAAUUCAUUCCGCGGCAGCUUUUAAAAUCUCGUUACGCUUUGAUGAUUGUGUUGGGCCGCGCGUGCCUUGACAAUGCCCCCCCCCCCACACCACACCGGGGGGGGGUGUCAACGAUCGAGCGUUUGUGAGGGAUCCCUCGGUGGCGAUUGGUAGGGGUCUGGCCACGCUUGGCUGUCGUAACCGAGCCGACAAAGCGCCCAGGGGUAUCUGCACCAUUGCGGAGGACGCGUUGACUUCUCGGCCGCACCGAGAGAUGUUUGUUCAUGAGUUUGUGAGCGAUAGCGCAGUGCUGACAGUCGCGCCUCGGAGCAAGAAGUUUCCCGGGUUCGAUCCCCACUACCCAAGCUUUUCUUUGCGUGGAGUUUGAAUGCUCCUUCCCCCCGCUGUUUUGCGUGGGAUUCCUUCAUUCAGAAGUGGAUCGAUCAACGGCUGACGGUGAUCGUUGCAGGCCCCCCGACAGCAUUUUCCAGACGUCCGCCUCGAACUGCCUCGCUCGCACCGCCCUCCGUGGACGUCAGCACCUCGAAAUAUUUUCUGGAGAUCAGCCUCGGACAGCUCCGGCUGCAAAUAGACCCCAGCGAUGAAGGAAUGUAAAUCCCCGUCUUGUGUCCCCGAGACGUUGCGAGGGCAGAUCCAGGCGAGGUGAUCAUGAACGCCGCUUGAAGUCGCCCCUCGCGCCGACGGCGAGAGGCGACGCGCGUCCUUUCAGGGGGAGCUCUCGACAAAGGCGCUCCCCAGAGCUCUUGCAUUGGAGCCCUUUGAUUUCUUGUUUUGAUUUCUUGUUUUCUCCCGGCCUUCCUCGACUCCUCUGCUCACUGCACCCCGUUAAUUCCAUUAACCCACCCCCCUCGUCUCCCCUCCCUCCAAAAUGGCUCUUCCGUCUCGCCCAUAAUUUGCAUCUCAAUUAUUGCCAGACCUUUUUGUUGUUGUUGUUGUUGUCCGAUUGAGUUGUCCACCGCGCCAAUCUCAUUCGACCGUUCUCCGCGUUCCUUCUCAUCGGCUGUGCUGCUCGGCACGUCACGGUUUCGGGUGACAGCCAAUCAGUGGGAAGGGUCACCCGCAUGUGGACCGACAAGCUAAUUAGACCUGCUGGGUGUAUUAUUGUUGUUAGUAAUUGACAGAGUUCGCAUCUCCGCAUCGCUGCACGUGCUCGUGUUUUAGUACCUCGGACACACUGAGAGAUCCCUGAGAGGGCGGGCCGAUAACUGCAUUUGAGGGACCGUAGAUUUGUGGUUUAACCUUCUGCGGAAGGACGGGGAAAAAAUCUCGCGGUUUUUCUUCCUCUCCCUCUCCCUCUCCUUCUCCCUCUCCCUCUCCUUCUCCUUCUUCUCUCUCUUUGCGGGGAGAGCAUCGCCACUCUCACCUCGGGGUGAAUUACCGCGCCCAGAGCGUCCCUCGAUCCCUCGGCGCACGAAUCCCGCACCAAGCGCCGUGAACGCGCCGUGCCGAGCCCCCUCUGAGUCGACGCGCCGCGCCGAGCCCUCUUUGAGUGACACCGCGGGGCUGAGACGGCGUCCGUGAUGAGCGCGGCCUCCGACGGAGUCGUUGGGCCGAGCCGACGAAGGCGAGCAACGACGCCUGGUCGCUUCUGUCUCCCCACUGCUGAACUUGAUAAAAUAUCACGUGAAAAAAAGAAAGCGGGCACAGUGUUUGAUGAUCCAGAACUUAACUCCAUGAUCACUCGCUCACAUGCGGGACGUCCCCUCUCUAUCAUUCUCCCAUCGCUAUUGCCAUGGUUACUGGUCCUGUGAACUCAUUGAUUCCUCCACCCAUGAUGAGGACUCGGUCUGCCAGACGGACUCUUUCAUCUCAACCACACCGCGUUCAGCCACCCCCACCACCACCACCAUCCCACCGCAGGUCACCUCACUUAUCUUUCUGAUUCUUCCCUCGCGCUGCUUGACUUCCGAAUUCCCUCCUACCACCGUCGUCUCCUUCCCCAAGCUCUUAAAAUAAAUAACCUUGCUCAAUU
Non-coding RNA from Petromyzon marinus (sea lamprey), 3560 nucleotides. NCBI's taxonomy places the organism in Eukaryota, Metazoa, Chordata, Hyperoartia, Petromyzontiformes, Petromyzontidae. The record is from RefSeq and is a predicted model, not a curated record.